GUCGCUUUAGCUCACUUGGGAGAGCGCCAGACUGAAGUUCAGUCACGAUAUCUGGAGGUACUGUGUUCGAUCCACAGAAGCGACA
RNAcentral lists this transfer RNA (85 nucleotides) under Macroventuria anomochaeta. Its description in RNAcentral is "tRNA-Phe". It matches the Rfam family "tRNA". From Rfam's summary of the family: Transfer RNA (tRNA) molecules are approximately 80 nucleotides in length. Lineage: Eukaryota; Fungi; Ascomycota; Dothideomycetes; Pleosporales; Didymellaceae. The record is from RNAcentral. RNAcentral also lists the same sequence under 1 other name.